GCCGGGCGUGUUGGCAGGCGCCUGUAGUCCCAGCUACUUGGGAGGCUGAGGCAGGAGAAUUGCUUGAACCUGGGAGGCGGAGGUUGCAGUGAGCCGAGAUCACACCACUGCACUCCAGCCUGGGUGACAGAGCAAGACUCUGUCUCAA
This is an unclassified non-coding RNA of Papio anubis (olive baboon), 148 nucleotides long. It matches the Rfam family "Metazoan signal recognition particle RNA". Rfam says of the family: The signal recognition particle (SRP) is a universally conserved ribonucleoprotein. It is involved in the co-translational targeting of proteins to membranes. The record is from Ensembl. NCBI's taxonomy places the organism in Eukaryota, Metazoa, Chordata, Mammalia, Primates, Cercopithecidae.